This 323-nucleotide long non-coding RNA is filed under the name Gossypium barbadense (sea-island cotton). RNAcentral describes it as "long non-coding RNA (GBAR_LNC017003)". Lineage: Eukaryota; Viridiplantae; Streptophyta; Magnoliopsida; Malvales; Malvaceae. The record is from RNAcentral.
GCACCACUAUUAGUUGUUUCUUUCAUCGAUGAGGAUAGAAGAUUGCUUGACCCACCCUAGUCUUGACAGUGGGAUGUUUUGAUUUGGGGAAUUUAUUCAAUCAGUGUUCCCCCCAGCUUUUAUCCUUAAGUGCUUGCUCGUCGUCGUCCUUGCUAUUUUCAGUUGAUGGUUAACGCUGAUUAGGGUCUCUGUGUGUGAGGCCUCUGUUUAUUUUGCUUUCUGUUUUUGAACUUCCUUUUUGUGUUUUUGAUUGCUUUCGUGGACUGUCUUUCAGGUUCUAGUUUCAAUGAAGUAACCGGUUUUUCAUUCAAAAAAGAAUUUAG